GGUGGGCACGGUGGCACGUGCCUAUAGUCCCAGCUAUUUGGGAGGCUGAGGCUGGAGGAUCUCUUGAGCCCAGGAGUUCUGGGCUAUAGUGUGCUAUGCCAAUCAGGUGUCCGCACUAAGUUUGGCAUCAAUAUGGUGACCUCCUGCAAGCGGGGGACCACCAGGUCGCCCAAGGAGGGGUGAACCAGCCCAGGUCAGAAACAGAGCAGGUCAAAACUCCCGUGCUGAUCAGUAGUGGGAUCACACCUGUGAAUAGCCACUGCACUCCAGCCUGGGCAACAAGACCCUGUCUCUU
Callithrix jacchus (white-tufted-ear marmoset) is the source of this 295-nucleotide unclassified non-coding RNA. It matches the Rfam family "Metazoan signal recognition particle RNA". Rfam says of the family: The signal recognition particle (SRP) is a universally conserved ribonucleoprotein. It is involved in the co-translational targeting of proteins to membranes. The record is from Ensembl. Lineage: Eukaryota; Metazoa; Chordata; Mammalia; Primates; Cebidae.